CAGGACGAACGCUGGCGGCGUGCCUAAUACAUGCAAGUCGAACGAACUCUGGUAUUGAUUGGUGCUUGCAUCAUGAUUUACAUUUGAGUGAGUGGCGAACUGGUGAGUAACACGUGGGAAACCUGCCCAGAAGCGGGGGAUAACACCUGGAAACAGAUGCUAAUACCGCAUAACAACUUGGACCGCAUGGUCCGAGUUUGAAAGAUGGCUUCGGCUAUCACUUUUGGAUGGUCCCGCGGCGUAUUAGCUAGAUGGUGGGGUAACGGCUCACCAUGGCAAUGAUACGUAGCCGACCUGAGAGGGUAAUCGGCCACAUUGGGACUGAGACACGGCCCAAACUCCUACGGGAGGCAGCAGUAGGGAAUCUUCCACAAUGGACGAAAGUCUGAUGGAGCAACGCCGCGUGAGUGAAGAAGGGUUUCGGCUCGUAAAACUCUGUUGUUAAAGAAGAACAUAUCUGAGAGUAACUGUUCAGGUAUUGACGGUAUUUAACCAGAAAGCCACGGCUAACUACGUGCCAGCAGCCGCGGUAAUACGUAGGUGGCAAGCGUUGUCCGGAUUUAUUGGGCGUAAAGCGAGCGCAGGCGGUUUUUUAAGUCUGAUGUGAAAGCCUUCGGCUCAACCGAAGAAGUGCAUCGGAAACUGGGAAACUUGAGUGCAGAAGAGGACAGUGGAACUCCAUGUGUAGCGGUGAAAUGCGUAGAUAUAUGGAAGAACACCAGUGGCGAAGGCGGCUGUCUGGUCUGUAACUGACGCUGAGGCUCGAAAGUAUGGGUAGCAAACAGGAUUAGAUACCCUGGUAGUCCAUACCGUAAACGAUGAAUGCUAAGUGUUGGAGGGUUUCCGCCCUUCAGUGCUGCAGCUAACGCAUUAAGCAUUCCGCCUGGGGAGUACGGCCGCAAGGCUGAAACUCAAAGGAAUUGACGGGGGCCCGCACAAGCGGUGGAGCAUGUGGUUUAAUUCGAAGCUACGCGAAGAACCUUACCAGGUCUUGACAUACUAUGCAAAUCUAAGAGAUUAGACGUUCCCUUCGGGGACAUGGAUACAGGUGGUGCAUGGUUGUCGUCAGCUCGUGUCGUGAGAUGUUGGGUUAAGUCCCGCAACGAGCGCAACCCUUAUUAUCAGUUGCCAGCAUUAAGUUGGGCACUCUGGUGAGACUGCCGGUGACAAACCGGAGGAAGGUGGGGAUGACGUCAAAUCAUCAUGCCCCUUAUGACCUGGGCUACACACGUGCUACAAUGGAUGGUACAACGAGUUGCGAACUCGCGAGAGUAAGCUAAUCUCUUAAAGCCAUUCUCAGUUCGGAUUGUAGGCUGCAACUCGCCUACAUGAAGUCGGAAUCGCUAGUAAUCGCGGAUCAGCAUGCCGCGGUGAAUACGUUCCCGGGCCUUGUACACACCGCCCGUCACACCAUGAGAGUUUGUAACACCCAAAGUCGGUGGGGUAACCUUUUAGGAACCAGCCGCCUAAGGUGGGACAGAUGAUUAGGGUGAAGUCGUAACAAGUAACCGUAAA
Molecule: ribosomal RNA, 1515 nt
Filed under: Lactiplantibacillus plantarum subsp. plantarum
Lineage: Bacteria; Bacillati; Bacillota; Bacilli; Lactobacillales; Lactobacillaceae
Description: bacterial SSU rRNA
Rfam family: Bacterial small subunit ribosomal RNA
Source: RNAcentral